GUGGGGAAUCUUAGACAAUGGGGGAAACCCUGAUCUAGCCAUGCCGCGUGAGCGAUGAAGGCCUUAGGGUUGUAAAGCUCUUUCAGCUGGGAAGAUAAUGACUGUACCAGCAGAAGAAGCCCCGGCUAACUCCGUGCCAGCAGCCGCGGUAAUACGGAGGGGGCUAGCGUUGUUCGGAAUUACUGGGCGUAAAGCGCACGUAGGCGGACCGGAAAGUCAGAGGUGAAAUCCCAGGGCUCAACCUUGGAACUGCCUUUGAAACUCCUGGUCUUGAGGUCGAGAGAGGUGAGUGGAAUUCCGAGUGUAGAGGUGAAAUUCGUAGAUAUUCGGAGGAACACCAGUGGCGAAGGCGGCUCACUGGCUCGAUACUGACGCUGAGGUGCGAAAGCGUGGGGAGCAAACAGGAUUAGAUACCCUUGUAGUCC
This 425-nucleotide ribosomal RNA is filed under the name uncultured bacterium. Its description in RNAcentral is "bacterial SSU rRNA". It matches the Rfam family "Bacterial small subunit ribosomal RNA", at positions 354 to 796 of the family's 1533-position model. The record is from RNAcentral.